CCUACGGGGGGCAGCAGUGAGGAAUAUUGGUCAAUGGACGAGAGUCUGAACCAGCCAAGUAGCGUGAAGGAUGACUGCCCUAUGGGUUGUAAACUUCUUUUAUAUGGGAAUAAAAUGUUCCACGUGUGGGAUUUUGUAUGUACCAUAUGAAUAAGGAUCGGCUAACGCCGUGCCAGCAGCCGCGGUAAUACGGGGGAUCCGAGCGUUAUCCGGAUUUAUUGGGUUUAAAGGGAGCGUAGGUGGUUUGUUAAGUCAGUUGUGAAAGUUUGCGGCUCAACCGGAAAACUGCAGUUGAAACUGGCAGUCUUGAGUACAGUAGAGGUGGGCGGAAUUCGUGGUGUAGCGGUGAAAUGCUUAGAUAUCACGAAGAACUCCGAUUGCGAAGGCAGUUCACUGGACUGCAACUGACACUGAGGCUCGAAAGUGUGGGUAUCAAACAGGAUUAGAUACCCGAGUAGUC
Molecule: ribosomal RNA, 460 nt
Filed under: uncultured bacterium
Lineage: Bacteria
Description: partial 16S ribosomal RNA
Rfam family: Bacterial small subunit ribosomal RNA
Source: RNAcentral